RNAcentral lists this ribosomal RNA (464 nucleotides) under uncultured bacterium. RNAcentral describes it as "partial 16S ribosomal RNA". It matches the Rfam family "Bacterial small subunit ribosomal RNA", at positions 31 to 506 of the family's 1533-position model. The record is from RNAcentral.
GAACGCUGGCGGCGUGCUUAACACAUGCAAGUCGAACGGAAAGGCCCUGCUUUUGUGGGGUGCUCGAGUGGCGAACGGGUGAGUAACACGUGAGUAACCUGCCCUUGACUUUGGGAUAACUUCAGGAAACUGGGGCUAAUACCGGAUAGGAGCUCCUGCUGCAUGGUGGGGGUUGGAAAGUUUCGGCGGUUGGGGAUGGACUCGCGGCUUAUCAGCUUGUUGGUGGGGUAGUGGCUUACCAAGGCUUUGACGGGUAGCCGGCCUGAGAGGGUGACCGGCCACAUUGGGACUGAGAUACGGCCCAGACUCCUACGGGAGGCAGCAGUGGGGAAUAUUGCACAAUGGGCGGAAGCCUGAUGCAGCAACGCCGCGUGCGGGAUGACGGCCUUCGGGUUGUAAACCGCUUUCGCCUGUGACGAAGCGUGAGUGACGGUAAUGGGUAAAGAAGCACCGGCUAACUACGU